UACGUAGGGUGCGAGCGUUAAUCGGAAUUACUGGGCGUAAAGCGUGCGCAGGCGGUUCGUUGUGUCGGCGGUGAAAGCCCCGGGCUUAACCUGGGAACGGCCGUUGAAACUGGCGAACUGGAGUGUGGCAGAGGGGGGUGGAAUUCCGGCGGUGUAGCAGUGAAAUGCGUAGAGAUGCGGAGGAACACCGAUGGCGAAGGCAGCCCCCUGGGCUAACACUGACGCCUCAGGCACGAAAGCGUGGGGAGCAAACAGG
Molecule: ribosomal RNA, 256 nt
Filed under: uncultured bacterium
Lineage: Bacteria
Description: partial 16S ribosomal RNA
Rfam family: Bacterial small subunit ribosomal RNA
Source: RNAcentral